UACGUAGGGUGCAAGCGUUGUCCGGAAUUAUUGGGCGUAAAGAGCUCGUAGGCGGCCUGUCGCGUCGGAUGUGAAAGCCCGGGGCUUAACCCCGGGUCUGCAUUCGAUACGGGCAGGCUGGAGUUCGGUAGGGGAGAUCGGAAUUCCUGGUGUAGCGGUGAAAUGCGCAGAUAUCAGGAGGAACACCGGUGGCGAAGGCGGAUCUCUGGGCCGAUACUGACGCUGAGGAGCGAAAGCGUGGGGAGCGAACAGG
This 253-nucleotide ribosomal RNA is filed under the name uncultured bacterium. RNAcentral describes it as "partial 16S ribosomal RNA". It matches the Rfam family "Bacterial small subunit ribosomal RNA", at positions 524 to 776 of the family's 1533-position model. The record is from RNAcentral.